Molecule: long non-coding RNA, 1053 nt
Filed under: Anser brachyrhynchus (Pink-footed goose)
Lineage: Eukaryota; Metazoa; Chordata; Aves; Anseriformes; Anatidae
Description: lncRNA (ENSABRG00000011052.1)
Source: RNAcentral
GGGGAACCCGCGCAAGCUGCGCGCCCCUCCGCGCAUCCUCCGCGGAUCGCUCCCCCCCUCCCCUCCCCGCAGCCCCGUUACCUUCCUGCGGCUCCCCGGGGUGGGGGGGGAGAGAUGCCGGCCGGCAGCGCUGCCCUCCGCGGGCGCGGCCGCCCUCCGCCUCCGCGCAAACUCCGCGGCGGCGGAGGGAGGAUGCGAAAGGCGCCGGGUGUCCUCCCCGAGGGUUUGGGGCUUUGCCUCCCGGCCGGGAGGAAAGAGGCUGCUGGAUCCCGGAGAGGCUGCGAGGCUCGGGCGAGGUUCGGCACCGGCACGGCCCGGAGGGGGCGCGGUGCGGGGAGCCGGGACCCCGGGACCCAGGGACCCAGAGACCCCGGGACACCCGGACCCGCCGCUGCAAGGCUGCGAGGCUGGCGCUUGCAGUCAGGGCAUCUCUGAUUCCCUCCGGAGUUGGAUUUUUUUUUUUUUUGUUAGAAGAGGUGGUGGGGGAGGGAUGCGAAUUGUGACCCAUCCCGGCGGCUUUUUCCUCUCUGCUUCUUCUUGCCUUUUUUUUUUUUUCCUCCCCCAUCUGCUCGUUUCCCACUUCCCUUCCUCUCCGCCAACCAGCCCCCUCCUUCCCUCUCUAAAAAAAAAAUUAAAAAAAAAAGGCAGGGGAAAAAAAAAAAUGUAUAGUCAGGGCUUCCCAAAUGCGCGCCCCCGACCUGGUGCCAAGCGCGCCCCCUUCAUUUGUUCCCCUUCUUGAAGCUCAUUUUCAUGACGUGGAAAAGCCUGAUCCAGGGCAACAACAGCACCACACACACACACACACACAGGGAGCAGGAGAGAAGCCCGAGAUCCUCCGCCGCGCCCCAGCCCUCCCGCUCCGCGCUGCCGGUGCCCGGAGAAGGCGGCGGCGGCGGCGCUGGAGCCUGCAGCAGCCCCUCUCCUCCCUCCUCCAUUGAGUGUGCCAAACAGCAGCUCUGCAUCCUAAAGAAGAUCAUUGAGGGGCUCAUUGCAUUCCCAGCACGUCUCAGCCUUGCUUCUUUUUUUUUUUUUUUUUUUUUUUUUUUUUUNNNN